This 29-nucleotide small RNA is filed under the name Bombyx mori (domestic silkworm). Its description in RNAcentral is "ovarian small RNA-12179". The record is from RNAcentral. Lineage: Eukaryota; Metazoa; Arthropoda; Insecta; Lepidoptera; Bombycidae.
AGGAGGAAUCUCGCAUAGCGAGCUGCCGC